This 492-nucleotide unclassified non-coding RNA is filed under the name Thelephoraceae sp. 18 CG-2012. RNAcentral describes it as "sequence contains ITS1, 5.8S rRNA gene, ITS2". The stretch from base 111 to 265 matches the Rfam family "5.8S ribosomal RNA". Lineage: Eukaryota; Fungi; Basidiomycota; Agaricomycetes; Thelephorales; Thelephoraceae. The record is from RNAcentral.
UAGUGAAUGCCCUCACGGGCUUAUAACUAUUCCAAACCUCUGUGAACCGUGCCCUUCGGGGCUAUUUUACAAACAUGGUGUAAUGAACGUCAUAUAUCAUAACAAAACAAAACUUUCAACAACGGAUCUCUUGGCUCUCGCAUCGAUGAAGAACGCAGCGAAAUGCGAUAAGUAAUGUGAAUUGCAGAAUUCAGUGAAUCAUCGAAUCUUUGAACGCACCUUGCGCCCCUUGGCUAUUCCGAAGGGCAUGCCUGUUUGAGUAUCAUGAACACCUCAACUCCCGUGGUUCGCCAUGGUGAGCUUGGACUUUGGAGGUUUUGCUGGCCCACGGUCGGCUCCUCUCAAAUGAAUUAGCCUGCCAGCGUUUGGUGGCAUCACGGGUGUGAUAAAUAUCUACGCUUGCGAUCGCCCACCAGGUAACCUUCAGCGAUGGGGGUUCGCUGGGGCUCAUAGACGUCUCUCCCUCGGCGAGGACGGUUUUUUUAACGUUCG